Non-coding RNA from Biomphalaria pfeifferi, 559 nucleotides. The record is from the annotation of a GenBank genome assembly. Lineage: Eukaryota; Metazoa; Mollusca; Gastropoda; Planorbidae.
AACAGUACUGAAACAUUUCCUAAUAUAGUUAGAUUAAUUUAUUACUAAAAACUGCUUUGCUAUUGAAGUUUUCAAGAUUAAUUUAAUGCCUUUUUUUGUUGACCAAAAUUGUAAUAGUUGUAUUUAUAAGUAUAAAUAAAAAAAAGGAUAGCCUAUCACUGUAUACUAUAAAAACACAAAUUAUAUUACAGAAGUAAAUAGACAGUACAGCAGUACAAAAACAAUGAUGACAUCAACACUGCAAUAAAAAAUGUACACGAAACUACUCAUUGUACAUCAAAACAAAUAAGGGAUAAAUAACAUAUGUACAUGAAACACCAAAACAAUUUCUAAAAGACACUUAUAAAACUUUGUACACUAACAAAACCUAUCAUCAAUCAUCAAAAACAGCUUUAAAGAGAUUUUCAUUCUCUUAUUUUAGAUUAAACAAUAUAAAUUGCAUAUUGCUUGGGAUGAGAAAAUAUUAAAAAAAAAUUUCAAAAUUACUUUUUAUAGUCAUAAAAGUUUUAAUAUAAAAUUAUAUUUAAAUAUUACAUAAUUUCUAAUUAAAAGAAAAUCA